GAUGAACGCUAGCUACAGGCUUAACACAUGCAAGUCGCGGGGCAGCAUGGGGGUUGCUUGCAACCCCUGAUGGCGACCGGCGCACGGGUGAGUAACGCGUAUCCAACCUGCCCUUCACCACGGGAUAACCCGGCGAAAGUCGGACUAAUACCGUAUGUUGUCCAUUGACGGCAUCCGAUUUGGGUGAAAGGCUUGGCGGUGGACGGGUGGGGGUGCUUCUGAUUAGUGUGAGUGUGGGGUAACGGCCAACUGUGGUUAUGAUCGGUAGGGGUUCUGAGGGGAAGGUCCCCCACACGGGGACUGAGACACGGUCCAGACUCCUACGGGGGGCAGCAGUGAGGAAUAUUGGUCAAUGGGCGUAAGCCUGAACCAGCCAAGUAGCGUGCAGGAUGACGGCCCUAUGGGUUGUAAACUGCUUUUAUGCGGGGAUAAAGUGGCCCACGUGUGGGCUUUUGCAGGUACCGCAUGAAUAAGGACCGGCUAAUUCCGUG
This 491-nucleotide ribosomal RNA is filed under the name uncultured bacterium. RNAcentral describes it as "partial 16S ribosomal RNA". It matches the Rfam family "Bacterial small subunit ribosomal RNA", at positions 28 to 507 of the family's 1533-position model. The record is from RNAcentral.